Molecule: ribosomal RNA, 451 nt
Filed under: uncultured bacterium
Lineage: Bacteria
Description: partial 16S ribosomal RNA
Rfam family: Bacterial small subunit ribosomal RNA
Source: RNAcentral
UAGGGAAUCUUCGGCAAUGGACGAAAGUCUGACCGAGCAACGCCGCGUGAGUGAAGAAGGUUUUCGGAUCGUAAAACUCUGUUGGUAGAGAAGAACAUUGGUGAGAGUGGAAAGCUCAUCAAGUGACGGUAACUACCCAGAAAGGGACGGCUAACUACGUGCCAGCAGCCGCGGUAAUACGUAGGUCCCGAGCGUUGUCCGGAUUUAUUGGGCGUAAAGCGAGCGCAGGUGGUUUAUUAAGUCUGGUGUAAAAGGCAGUGGCUCAACCAUUGUAUGCAUUGGAAACUGGUAGACUUGAGUGCAGGAGAGGAGAGUGGAAUUCCAUGUGUAGCGGUGAAAUGCGUAGAUAUAUGGAGGAACACCGGUGGCGAAAGCGGCUCUCUGGCCUGUAACUGACACUGAGGCUCGAAAGCGUGGGGAGCAAACAGGAUUAGAUAGCCCUGGUAGUCCA